RNAcentral lists this ribosomal RNA (461 nucleotides) under Scincella reevesii. RNAcentral describes it as "partial 16S ribosomal RNA". It matches the Rfam family "Bacterial large subunit ribosomal RNA", at positions 1922 to 2585 of the family's 2925-position model. Lineage: Eukaryota; Metazoa; Chordata; Lepidosauria; Squamata; Scincidae. The record is from RNAcentral.
UUUAAACGGCCGCGGUAUUCUAACCGUGCAAAGGUAGCGUAAUCACUUGUCUUCCAAAUAAAGACCAGUAUGAAUGGCUAAAUGAGGACAGACCUGUCUCCUACACCCCAUCAGUGAAACUGAUCUCCCCGUUCAAAAGCAGGGAUAUCCACACAAGACGAGAAGACCCUGUGGAGCUUUAAGUAAACUACUAAGAAACACACAAUGUAACUAGUACUAACUUUAAGUUGGGGCGACUUCGGAACAAAACAAAACUUCCGAGCACAGAACUACAACUUCUAACUUAGGCCAACAAGCCUAAACAAAACUGACCCAGUAAAACUGAUCAACGAACCAAGUUACCCCAGGGAUAACAGCGCUAUCUUCUUCAAGAGUCCAUAUCGACAAGAAGGUUUACGACCUCGAUGUUGGAUCAGGACACCCCAAUGGUGCAGCCGCUAUUAAAGGUUCGUUUGUUCAAC